Molecule: long non-coding RNA, 271 nt
Filed under: Homarus americanus (American lobster)
Lineage: Eukaryota; Metazoa; Arthropoda; Malacostraca; Decapoda; Nephropidae
Description: uncharacterized LOC121867914, transcript variant X1
Source: RNAcentral
GGUAGCUGGAACACUGUGAGGGUAGUGUGGUAGCUGGAACACUGUGAGGGUAGGUGGUAGCUGGAACACUGUGAGGGUAGUGUGGUAGCUGGAACACUGUGAGGGUAGUGUAACUGACACACUGUGAGGGUAGUGUGGUAGCUGACACACUGUGAGGUAGUGUGGUAGCUGGAACACUGUGAGGGUAGUGUGGUAGCUGACACACUGUGAGGGUAGUGUGGUAGCGACUGACACUGUGAGGGUAGUGUGGUAGCUGGAACACUGUGAGGGU